Molecule: microRNA, 21 nt
Filed under: Marchantia polymorpha subsp. ruderalis
Lineage: Eukaryota; Viridiplantae; Streptophyta; Marchantiopsida; Marchantiales; Marchantiaceae
Source: RNAcentral
GUUUGUGUCUAGGCUAAGCUC